GUGGGGAAUCUUCCGCAAUGGACGAAAGUCUGACGGAGCAACGCCGCGUGAGUGAUGAAGGUCUUCGGAUUGUAAAGCUCUGUUAAUCGGGACGAAAGAGCCUAGUGUGAAUAAUGCUAGGAAGUGACGGUACCGGAAUAGAAAGCCACGGCUAACUACGUGCCAGCAGCCGCGGUAAUACGUAGGUGGCAAGCGUUGUCCGGAAUUAUUGGGCGUAAAUCGCGCGCAGGCGGAUCUGCCAGUCUGUCUUAAAAGUUCGGGGCUUAACCCCGUGAUGGGAUGGAAACUACAGAUCUAGAGUAUCGGAGAGGAAAGUGGAAUUCCUAGUGUAGCGGUGAAAUGCGUAGAUAUUAGGAAGAACACCAGUGGCGAAGGCGACUUUCUGGACGAAAACUGACGCUGAGGCGCGAAAGCCAGGGGAGCGAACGGGAUUAGAUACCCUUGUAGUCC
This 450-nucleotide ribosomal RNA is filed under the name uncultured bacterium. Its description in RNAcentral is "partial 16S ribosomal RNA". It matches the Rfam family "Bacterial small subunit ribosomal RNA", at positions 354 to 796 of the family's 1533-position model. The record is from RNAcentral.